UCUCAAAUUUAUACUGUGCAGUUCGCAUCAAUUUCAGGUCUGGUUCCCUCGGAAAUGAAAUUUCUACAGUGCUUGGUGGAGGUCUUGUACCAGGUUCUUUAACUUUAGUCGGUGGUGAUCCUGGUAUCGGGAAAAGUACUCUGUUGUUACAGAUUUCAGCAAUGAUAGCAAAUAAAUGCAGUGAUGAUGAAACACCUCCAGUUGUAUAUGUGUCUGGUGAAGAGAGCCUUGAGCAAAUUUGUGCUAGAGCCGAUCGCCUUGGGAUUAAGUCCAAUAUUUAUUUAUAUUCAAGUACUGAUAUUGAGGUACAUUAUCUUGAAUUUUGCUGAUUAGUUUUUCUUCCAGUAUUUUAUUCAUACAUGAGUUUUGAUGUCCCAACACUGUCACGGAGUCUGUUUCACGGAAGAUAUUAUUCUUAAUUGGCCAUAGUAGUACAGUGUGUAAUGAAGCCUCAAUAACAGUCCUCUUUUUUUGUUUGACUUCAUAGUUAUCGAUAAUGCACUUCUUCUGUCCAGAAUAGCCAUAGGCUGCUGCAAAGUUUUAAUACCAGUGCAUUUUUUUAAUAGUGGCUGUAGCUCCAGUGAGACUAGAGUGAUCGGAAACCCUUUUUUUUUUCCCUCAAAAGGGGGGACGGGGGUAAAAUUAUUCCCCCUCCUUUUAGAAUGUUAAAAAAUCCCUAAUUGUA
Molecule: non-coding RNA, 685 nt
Organism: Vigna umbellata (rice bean)
Lineage: Eukaryota; Viridiplantae; Streptophyta; Magnoliopsida; Fabales; Fabaceae
Source: RefSeq, a predicted model, not a curated record